AGAGUCUGAUCGUUCUUGGGGAGAACCGUCAGCGGCAGACACACCACAGGCAUGUCGGGGGGAAACGAGGAAUUGCUAACAAUCUAAUGACGACCGGCGCACGGGGGAGUAACGGGUUAUACAUUUUGCCUUAUACAGAGGGAUACCCUUUAGAAAUGAAGAUUAAUACCUCAUGGUCUAUUAGAAUCGCAUGGUUUUAAUAGUAAAGAUUUAUCGGUAUAAGAUGAGUAUGCGUUCUAUUAGCUAGUAGGUAAGGUAACGGCUUACCUAGGCGACGAUAGAUAGGGGUCCUGAGAGGGAGAUCCCCCACACUGGUACUGAGACACGGACCAGACUCCUACGGGAGGCAGCAGUGAGGAAUAUUGGGCAAUGGAGGCAACUCUGACCCAGCCAUGCCGCGUGCAGGAAGACGGCCCUAUGGGUUGUAAAUUGCUUUUAUAGAGGAAGAAACCCAAUCACGUGUGAUUGGCUGACGGUACUCUACGAAUAAGCACCGGCUAUACUCCGUGCCGAGCUAGCCGCGGUAAUAAGGGCGA
This 536-nucleotide ribosomal RNA is filed under the name uncultured Tenacibaculum sp. RNAcentral's name for it is "bacterial SSU rRNA". It matches the Rfam family "Bacterial small subunit ribosomal RNA", at positions 1 to 532 of the family's 1533-position model. The record is from RNAcentral. Lineage: Bacteria; Pseudomonadati; Bacteroidota; Flavobacteriia; Flavobacteriales; Flavobacteriaceae.